Molecule: ribosomal RNA, 253 nt
Filed under: uncultured bacterium
Lineage: Bacteria
Description: partial 16S ribosomal RNA
Rfam family: Bacterial small subunit ribosomal RNA
Source: RNAcentral
UACGGACGGGGCGAGCGUUGUUCGGAAUCAUUGGGCGUAAAGGGCGCGUAGGUGGUUCUGUAUGUCUAUCGUGAAAGCGUACGGCUCAACCGUAUUUUGUCGGUAGAAACUGCAGGACUUGAGGCUGGGAGGGGCUGGUGGAAUUCCCUGUGUAGCGGUGAAAUGCGUAGAGAUGGGGGAGAACACUCGUGGCGAAGGCGGCCAGCUAGACCAGUUCUGACACUGAGGCGCGACAGCGUGGGGAGCAAACAGG